RNAcentral lists this ribosomal RNA (253 nucleotides) under uncultured bacterium. RNAcentral describes it as "partial 16S ribosomal RNA". It matches the Rfam family "Bacterial small subunit ribosomal RNA", at positions 524 to 776 of the family's 1533-position model. The record is from RNAcentral.
UACAGAGGGGGCAAGCGUUGUUCGGAAUUACUGGGCGUAAAGGGCGCGUAGGCGGCCGCCUAAGUCAGACGUGAAAUCCCCGGGCUUAACCUGGGAGCUGCAUUCGAAACUGUCUUGCUAGAGUAUGGGAGAGGGAGGUGGAAUUUCAGGUGUAGCGGUGAAAUGCGUAGAUAUCUGAAGGAACAUCAGUGGCGAAAGCGACCUCCUGGACCAAUACUGACGCUCAGGUGCGAAAGCGUGGGGAGCAAACAGG